This 400-nucleotide unclassified non-coding RNA is filed under the name soil metagenome. RNAcentral's name for it is "partial contains 5.8S ribosomal RNA, internal transcribed spacer 2, and large subunit ribosomal RNA". The stretch from base 1 to 122 matches the Rfam family "5.8S ribosomal RNA", at positions 35 to 154 of the family's 154-position model. The record is from RNAcentral.
GAUGAAGAACGCAGCGAAAUGCGAUACUUGGUGUGAAUUGCAGAAUCCCGUGAACCAUCGAGUCUUUGAACGCAAGUUGCGCCUCAAGCCAUUAGGUUGAGGGCACGUCUGCCUGGGCGUCACAUAUCGUUGCCUGAUGCCAGUUUCCUCGUGAUGGGUGACUGUGCAGGGCGAAUGAUGGCUUCCCGUGAGCAUUGUUGUCUCAUGGUUGGUUGAAAAUUGAGUCCUUGGUAGGGAGCGCCGUGAUAGAUGGUGGUUGAGUGACGAACGAGACCCAAUCAUGUGAGACCCCUACCGAAUUUGGCCUUCAUGACCCACAUGCGUCUUUGGAACGCUCAUGACGAGACCUCAGGUCAGGCGGGGCUACCCGCUGAGUUUAAGCAUAUCAAUAAGCGGAGGA